GGGGAAUUUUCCGCAAUGGGGGCAACCCUGACGGAGCAACGCCGCGUGAGGGAGGACGGUUUGUGGACUGUAAACCUCUUUUAAUAGGGAAGAAUAACUGACGGUACCUAUUGAAUAAGCAUCGGCUAACUCCGUGCCAGCAGCCGCGGUAAUACGGAGGAUGCAAGCGUUAUCCGGAAUUAUUGGGCGUAAAGGGUCCGCAGGUGGUUAAUCAAGUCAGGCGUUAAAGGUCCGAGCUUAACUCGGGGAGAGCGGUUGAAACUGAUUGACUAGAGUACGGUAGGGGCAGAGGGAAUUCCUAGUGUAGCGGUGAAAUGCGUAGAUAUUAGGAAGAACACCAGUGGCGAAGGCGCUCUGCUGGGCCUGUACUGACACUGAGGGACGAAAGCUAGGGGAGCGAAAGGGAUUAGAUACCCCUGUAGUCA
RNAcentral lists this ribosomal RNA (425 nucleotides) under uncultured cyanobacterium. Its description in RNAcentral is "bacterial SSU rRNA". It matches the Rfam family "Bacterial small subunit ribosomal RNA", at positions 356 to 796 of the family's 1533-position model. Lineage: Bacteria; Bacillati; Cyanobacteriota. The record is from RNAcentral.